RNAcentral lists this ribosomal RNA (207 nucleotides) under uncultured bacterium. Its description in RNAcentral is "partial 16S ribosomal RNA". It matches the Rfam family "Bacterial small subunit ribosomal RNA", at positions 568 to 774 of the family's 1533-position model. The record is from RNAcentral.
UGCGUAGGCUGCGCCGUAAGUCAGAUGUGAAAGCUCAGGGCUCAACCCUGAAAUUGCAUCCGAUACUGCGGUGCUAGAGAAAUGAAGGGGAGUCUAGAAUUUUCGGUGUAGCAGUGAAAUGCGUAGAUAUCGAAAGGAAUACCAAAGGCGAAGGCAGGACUCUGGGCAUUUUCUGACGCUCAUGCACGAAGGCUAGGGUAGCGAACG